UGCUGAUGGAUGGUGUCAAAGUGGAGCCUGAAGUCUGAAAAUGCUAGUGCUGCAGCUGUCAUUUUUAUGAUAUUGGUUGUCCUUCAUUUCAGGACAGAGGCAGUGCAGGUGUGUGAGUUUUAAGAAGAAAAAGAAACAACCAGUGCUAACAGGACAGCAGGUGACUACUGACCAGCAGCGGUGCAGGAAUCUGGUCUGACAGCACCAAGCAUGCACAGACCAGCGCAGGAAUCCUCUACAGGCUUCCUGCCAGUCAGGAAUGUGAUUCAGUGGAGUGAGGUCACCAAGGGAUAAAAAGCCUUCAGGAGCUGGGAGGAGGCCACAGCAUGUGUAGCUCAGUUUUUUACCAGUAAAGCCCUCUCAGGUGAGCUCAUGUGUCAGUUUCAGGAUGUGCCACGCAGGUAAGGCAAGUCCAACCAAUCACUGCCAUACAACACAAAGACCAACGCUGUUUAGGGGAGGGAACAAGGAAAUAAGGCCCUGCAGGACCGGUGGAACCAUCAACUGACUGCUAUUCUUUAACUUGGGUGGGGUGGGGUUGCCAUAAAAGUUUUUUUUUUUUUUUUUUCCUUUUUCUUUUUACAGGGAAGUAAGUUAAGAAGUAAAAAACACAAUAGCUGACCUUUAGGACCAUUACUGCAUAACAGAUCUACUCUUUGUCGUUCCCAACAGGAAUCCUUCAACACUAGUCGUCUCUAACAGUUUUGAAAAUGAAACGCUCAGACAUAAAUGUUUAUGUGCUUUUAUACAAACGGAUUCCCCAUCUGUCAGCACUGUACGUCAUCUGUGCCGCUCUUCCUUUUUAUUUUUGACUGUCGACAUAGCCAGGGGCAUCUAUACAGACAAAUAUAUAGUAAAAGACGCACAACUAUUUAAAUUAACUUCUGAGGAGGAAGUGACACACGUUCCAGUUAUACUACCUCAAAAUACUGAGCCAACUGUGCCUUUAAGGUUAAUCCAUCAAUGACAGCAUCAAAGAAGGUUUCAGCAGUCAUUAACAUCUUUGGUUUUAAAGUCACCGCAGGUUUUCAGUCACCCAGAAAACAUCGUUACCAGACAGUGUUAGAACAACAGUUGUACAAUCCAGCACUGUCAGGUAAGAUGGAUCCUGAGAGCCAUUUCUGUUGCUGCUCACGUCUUUGAGCCAAGCCAGGUGCACGUUGCUGCUAACAUUGCUAAAAUGGUUUGUCUGAUUGCAGUCAGCAGAUGACUAUCAUCAUCAUUACCAGGCAGUAUUAGAGAAAGUGAUGAUAUCCAAUGCUGCCUCGUAAGAUGGAGAUAAUCACCCAAACACACAGAACAUCUCAUAACUAAACUCCUAUAGCGUACAGCACUCAGUGAUAUAAAGGUUUGGAUAGAACAUUAUGCGAUAUCUUUGCAAGGUUAUUAAAAGCCAAUGAGUGAAUGAAUGUGACAUCUGUUAAAGCAGAUGUGUGUGCGAACAAUACACAACCUAAUCUUUCAUACGGUUGUCAGAGAGAAAAAAAAGGGGAACUCAACCUUUAUGAUGGAGGGAAAUGUGUACAUAAGUGUUAAAUAAGUGUCACAAAACACAGCCCAAACAUCAACAUAUUUAUCAUAUUUAAAAAGUGAACCAUGUAUGGCCCAGAAAUAGCAUUGUAAAUAGGAGUGGGGAAGUCCGUAUUCGGAGACCACCUCUCUAUAGUAUUAUUGCUGAGCCCUUGUUGUGGUCAGGGUUUUCAGCUCAAACUCGCUGUCACAGAAGACUGGGCCACAGUAGUUGUUAAUGAUUGCCCAAACCUGUUCCGACUAGUCUAAAUCUACGGCACGGCAAGGAUGGGAGGGCUGCUUUUCACACAAUACAUGGCAGUUACUAAUUUCAAAUACCGCACGCUGCAUAUACGCUCAAAAAUACCAUCGAGUGAAAAGCACGUCAGCCUCGGGGAGUUGAUUCUGUUCCACGUCACAACCCGGCAGACGGGAAUAGUGUUUUUAUGUUGCAACAUACUGAUCUGGCUCUAAUAGAGCAGUGUUGUCAAGUCCAUUUCAACAGAUGUUUUAUGAAAUAGAGGAAAGGAGAAGGCCCUUUUUUUUUCUGUUUUCCGUUGGUGGACCUCUCAAGCUGUUGUCUUUGUGUUUGCUGAGUGAUGAAAGGCUGAUGGAAUGCUGCUCGGCUCGACCUGAGCCGACGCCGUGUAUGCAGAAGGUCACUGAAACAGCCCUCGUUUACUGAAUAAGGUGGAUCAUUCACAGAAAGAACAAGGAAUUUCUCUCAGCACAGAAACCCAAACAAAAAGGUGUAAUUUUCAGGUCGCAGCCAAUCUCCUUAGCCUCUGGCGCUCACAGGUGUGUCCCCCAUGCUGUCUUUGGCCAAUGGUGGUUGAGACGAAACCUCCCCCCCACCCCACCACUCUCCCACCCUCCGACUCCCACCUCACCGGUUCGCUCACCUCUACCCUCCCCAUCAUCCCCCAGGCCUUCCCUCUACCUCCCUUUGUGUCCACACACCUUUUUUGUCCCAACAAUAACCUGGCUGAGUUACAGCGGGAAUGACAGGUGAACAAAGUGCAGGAGAUACAGGCAUCAUUUCUUUUCACAAAGCCAGAGAAUCACCAAGGGAGCAGAGUGCACACAAGCGGUCUAGCAGCCACAGCCGUGCUCUGACUUGCCGCCUGCCACCAGCAGCGGGUAAUUGGCCCCGGAGGAUUUAGGGCGGGAUGGUGUGUGUGGAUGGCGCGGUCGUAUCCCAUAAUCUCCAAUGGGGCAGUUGCCAUAGAGAAGCGGAGUGAGGCAUACCAAUUAUUGCUGCAUCUUAUUCCACAACACACCUGUUUGGCUCAUCUGCUGGUUUAAGGCCAAACUGCCGCUGUGAUCAGUCUGACAUCAGUGACAAGCAAAGAGAUAAAUGGAGUAAUACCCAUACAUAUUCUAUAACCCCACCUGUGCAUCUAUUUAUCAUAAACAAAAUACACGUUCAGGGAGAGAUGUUGCCUCUAGGAUCUUAUCUGACACAAUGUUCAUAUUGUACAGAUCUGCAAAAAAAAGUUAGAGGCUAUUCCUUCAGUGUUAAUGUAUUAUACCUAAAGUAAUGUACAUGUUAGGAGCUAAAAGCAAUUGGUUAAUGUCAAGCAAAGAGGUUGAUCAGUUAAAUAAGAAAAAUGUCUUAAAAAGAAAGACGUUGGUGUUGAAGGCAAACACCCGUCUCUACACAGCACUGUACUGUAUAAAUGUUAUUCUACUUUCUGCAUGGCACAUGGCAAUUGCUAUUGAAUGACAUUCAUUGUGGACAUUAUAAACAUUUAUCCGUCAUUCAUGCCACCAUUUUCUGAAAGUGAAGUUUCCAUCCACCUGUGUUAAAUUGAGAAACCUGAGUGCAGGUGCCAGAAAUUUGAAAACAAAUAGCCAAAAAUUCACAAAACAGGUUUUACAUGUGCAGGAGGUGGGACAGUUGGCAUAUAAAAAAUGAGAAUAUGUGAUUAAGGUUCAUGGAGAGAGAUUUUUCAAAUCCGUCUUAUCUACUAUAGACAAAAGAAUAAGAACAGUGCAGACAGGGUGCUUGUUGCAUAUCAAUCCUCACUCUAUCACUAUAUAGGCUAAUUGCAGGGUAUACAUAUAAAAUACAAAUACCAUCUUAGGUGGGAAGCAGUAAUGAUAAGUCAUGGUGUAUCAGAGAGACUUAUACACAGUUAUUUAAGUAAUCUUGUCACCCUUCUCCUCUUUAAUGUAUUUGCAUGCAGGUAGCACUGAUUCACAUUUUGAUUUUGCAAGAAUUUUAGAAAUGCACCAAAGACUUUUAAAUUUUCAUGGCUCACUUACAAAGUACCACAACUAAGGACGUGCCUAUACUGUAGGAAUAAAGACUCAUGCGUGUGAAAUUGUUUGUUUCCUGUUUACUUCACAGUUAAAUCUACAGUAUGUAAUGUGUCACUGUUCCCAUCAUGUAUGAGAGUAUCUGACACUUCAUGACUUUUUAUGUUGCAUUAUUAUAGACGUAUGUUCUGCAUAUAUCAGAGGGAGAUCCUUUAAAAGUUUUAUUUGGUUAAGAUCAACAUCUCUGAAUGGAUUCCUCACUUUCUUUAACUUACAUGUGCAGUCACACACACACACACACACAUACACACACAUACUCUCUCUCUCUUAAGUUUGACUCUACCUGUCAAACACACCUGCAGAGCUGCUGGCCCGGGUCAAGUUUCAGUCAUUCACGGUCGAGACGUUGCAGUUUGUUUAGGAAAUGAGCGUAAAUGCUGACCUCAAGGUCAUCAUUCAUUGUGCCCUACUUAUAAUAGCACGUCAACCUCGCCUGCCUCACGGCAAAAUUUGGUAUUGUCAAGCUUUAAAGGAUUUGUGUGUGUUCAGUUGAGGGCAUUAUGAGGAACUAUGAUAGCAUACCAUCUCCAAACACACCUGCCUGUUUCUUCCAAAAGACUUUCUAUUUGGUCUCAUGUAAUUAGCUUGCUGUGUAAUGUGUUUACUAAGGCAUUAGCAUGAGGGGAAUGACGAUGAUUUUUAGAGGAGUAUGCUUUAGUUCAUGUGUGUGUUGAAUUCAUCCAAGCUUGAAAAAUGUUGAAUGGUUUUAACCAAAGGUGUGUUGUGAGUGCCCAUUACAUGAGGCUUUUAGCGUCCUCAGGGCAGAAAUUAUUUUAAGAGGGAAACAUCAUCCAGCAGCUGAUAAUCAUUUGGGUCAAUAGUCAGUUGCUGUGUGUAAAUUCACAGAAAGGAAUUAUGCAGUUGCUAAUGACUUGGAAACAUGUUACUGCUUUUCUCUCUCUGUCAAACUCAUAUAGUAUUAUUUAUACAUGCAGUCAUUUGCCAGAAUCAAUAAAUGCCUGUUAGUAUUAGCAUAUUUUUUCCGCUGCAUUAGAAGUUACCCACUCUUCAACUGACAAGAAAUGGGAAUAUUCAGUUAGUUUUGGUAACAACUGGACCUUUCCAACAAAAUGGUGCCACAAACUAAGACGUCCAUGGAGCUAAAUCCGGAACUAAAUGUCCUUUUUGCACAAUCCUGUUUGCCGUUCCACCACAUCUGAACAACCGUGAAGAUUUGACAAAUAGACCAAUAACGGAUGAAAUACCAGAGAAUUUUCACUCAUGAUGAAACAUCAACACAGAUAUAUCAUUCUUGUAGUUUACCAUUGCGUGACUGAUGGGAAAUCACCAACAUCAGUUUGUUUUUUAACGUCAGUAAGCAAGAAAUAUACUCCCCUAGUCCUAAUAUUGAUACUAAAUGUCAUCCACUGUCCGCUCACUCACUGUCUGAAUGAAUACUGCUCUUGUUGUUGUAGCAACUUCGAAGCCUGUGUUUGACCGAUCAUGCGGCAAAUUCUACCCAAAUAGUUCCUCGGU
This is a long non-coding RNA of Thunnus maccoyii (southern bluefin tuna), 5307 nucleotides long. RefSeq lists it as uncharacterized. The record is from RefSeq and is a predicted model, not a curated record. The transcript is spliced from 8 exons. Lineage: Eukaryota; Metazoa; Chordata; Actinopteri; Scombriformes; Scombridae.